This is a long non-coding RNA of Brachypodium distachyon (stiff brome), 1242 nucleotides long. RefSeq lists it as uncharacterized. The transcript is spliced from 3 exons. NCBI's taxonomy places the organism in Eukaryota, Viridiplantae, Streptophyta, Magnoliopsida, Poales, Poaceae. The record is from RefSeq and is a predicted model, not a curated record.
UGAACUCAGUUCAAAGCCAAGCUUCUCCAAGCUCUUGGCGUAACUAAUCAUCUUAAUGUUUCUGGACAGUGAUGGCACCAAUCCAUGUGUGUGCCGAUUUGUUGGUACUCCAAGCGCGGAAUGAUAUAGCAAACGUGUUUUCCACACACAAGAGUAACUCGGGGUUCAAUAUCGAACUCUUGGCGAGAUGUUUUGAAACAAUAUUUAAGUCCAAAGUUCCUGUCAAUCAACCUGCAAUGCACAAGUGUUUGCCUUGUGCCCCCAACAAUCACCAUAGUGGUUAAAAUAGGAACAUAGUACAUGGGUUCACUUGUCUACUUUCUCAUAACUUUGGUGCCACGAACAUAGCAUAAAGGCAAUAAGAUUAUUAGCGAUUUCAUGAUGGCUUACAUUUCAACUGCUGGGGCCGAAGCCUACGGCAGCUGCCAGGAGGCCUACAGUAAAUACACCAACUAUGUGUCAAUGGCUCAGGAGGCGCACGAGCCUGAGACGAUCCACGACCUGGAUCUGGAAGUGGUCAUGAGGGAGGGAGGAGACAUGAAGCACGGUAGGUUUUUUAAUGGGGACGGAUCCAUCGAUCCGGCCACCGCUCCAAGCCUCGCUCAUAUCAGGGCUCGAAGCACGAGCUCAAGUCCAAGUAUACGCACUAACAUGCACGACAGAUGUCGGAGCAGGAGCUUGCAGCUUCAGAGCAAGCCUUGGAGGAGCGUAUCGUGGGGCGUAUGCAGGCUACGAUGUAGGCCGCAGUGAAUGCUCAGUAUGACCGGCUUUCGGUGUACGUUGCUAGUACCAAACAGGGGGGACACCACCGCUGUUCAACAUGUCACUUCUUCAGCUUGAAGGUUUUCCACACAUUCAUGUGACUUCGCUCAGAAACUUUUCUUGCUUUAAUUGAGAGUUGGGGUAAAUGUCUAAUCAUCUGUGGAGUAUCGAUCUAGUCGUGGCUCUAACGAGCCUACUUCCUCACACGCAAGCCCGGCUGGAGCCUACUUCCUCACACGCAAGCCCGGCUGGAGGGAACCCUCUUGGACGAUCCCCUCCUCCGCCCGCGCCUAACUCCGAUAAUUUUGCCUCAAACUUCUAUCAUCUUGUGGUCCCACUACUUGUCCCCACCCUAAAAUUGCACAACAUAGCAUCACAUAGCGACAUAGAAUAAUUUCUGAGCCAAAAAACUCGUUCUUGCUACCAAGUCAACACUUUGGAGCCAAAUGCCUCAUUCUUGGCUCCACAAUGGUUGAGUGA